CGCGCAAAGUAGCCCUCAAAAGAAAAGAAAAAGCAGACGCGCAAAGAAAGGAGGGGAAGCAGAGGAGGGCCGGAGCGCCGCCGGCCACAUCAACAUUCCGGCGACCCCGGGCGCGGCGGCAACGACUCCGGCGACGACGGCGCGGGUAAAUGAUAUGCAACUACCGUUGCUUUUGACAUUGUGGCCACAUUGAGAUCAAAUAUAUUUAAAUAUUUGGGUACAUGAGAUGAAAUAUUUCGGGCUACAAAUUAGGAGAACACUGGUGAUCACUGGUGUUGUUGGAAAAUUUCAUGUUGUUUCAUACCCUACGGUGAUUCCUGGUUGUCUGCUGGAUGAAGAUGGGAUUGCUUGGGUUUUGAGAAACAUCUACUCCGUCAGGUUGGCUUAUCAUGUGCUCACUGAUGAUGCUGGCCAGGAAAGAAACCUGAGAGUGGCUUGUGCAGCUUGCUCAACUGGCACUAAAGUGGUAAAUUACCUGGAUGGAAGAAGGUGUGGAAGAUAAAAGUGCACAAAGUUUGCAAUUUCUGGUGGAGAGCUCUGCAUAAUUUCAAGUAGGGGAUGGAAGGCCGCUCACCAGCAGGAGUUUGGGCUCAAUCAUGAAGAGUUGAAGGUCAACCCUUCCGGUGCGGAUUUAUCUUUCUGAUGAAGCUUACGGCCGUGUUGAUGGAUCAUAUAGAAGGUUCAGGAGCGUACAGUUUUUAAAUUUGUUCAGCACACACAUACAUACUCCCUCUGUAAAUGUAAGCAUUUUGGUACAGAGGGAGUAGUUGAUAGCGUUUUUUAUACUGGGAGAUUCCCAAAGAACAUAUGUUCAUGGACCGUUGCUCAUAUGAGUUACUCCCUCCGUUCACUUUUGUAAGUCGUUUCAGACAACUCAAAAUAUGUUGUUUUGCACAUUGUCUGAAAUGUCUUCAAGGUCUUAUAAAAGUGAACAGAGGGAGUAGUACAUUUCUAGCUUUUAUGGUCGCUCCGUCAGAAUACUAAUUCCCGUUUCUUUUAUGGAACAUUGAUA
Molecule: long non-coding RNA, 1012 nt
Organism: Triticum aestivum (bread wheat)
Lineage: Eukaryota; Viridiplantae; Streptophyta; Magnoliopsida; Poales; Poaceae
Exons: 3
Source: RefSeq, a predicted model, not a curated record